UUUAAAUUGGACUUACUAUAAUUUUACAUAACGUGAUAUUUGUACAUUAAUAAGGUAUAUAUAUCCGAUUCUAAGAUAAGAUUUACAUAGAUAACAUUGGAAUACAAAAACUUCUAGAUUUGCUUAAUGACCAACUUAUUAACUAAUUACACAUAAGUGGUUUCCAUGAGGUAGAUUAAUAUCUUCAAGGAGCAAAUCUCUUUAAAACCCUAACCCUCAAACCUCUUUUCGUAUAAAGUAAUAUAGAAACAUUUGGACUAACAGAAUGGUUUUCAACCACUUGAAGAGAAUAAUUCCAUAUAACAGAAGCAGCAAUCGCUUUCAUUUGUAGGAAUGCCAACUCCUUACCUAUGCAACUCCUGGGUCCUGCAUUGAAUGCUACGAACUUGUAAGACGGCACAUGUUUGAUUCUUCCUCCCUCUGAAAUCCACCUCUCUGGUUUGAAUUCCAAGCAAUCUUUACCCCAUAUUUCUUCCAUCCUGCCCAUUGCGUAGAAAGAGAACAGAAUCCUCAUAUUUCUAGGAACAUUAUGUCCACUUGGAAAAAUAUCUUCUUCAAUUGCCACUUUGUGUUCGAAAGGUACUGGUGGAUACAGCCUCAAAACUUCACAUAUAACUGCAUGGAGAUAAACUAGUUUCCUUCCCUCUUCAAUACUGAAAACCCUCCAUUUUUCACUUGUUUUUGCACCUAAAUUUGCUUUGAUCUCUUCCAAAAUCUUUUGCUCUACAAAUGGGUGAGUUCCGACAAGCCAGAAGAGCCAGACAAGACCAGCACCUAUGGUGUCUCUCCCAGCUACCAAGAGAUUAAAUGCCAUGUCUCUUAGAAACUUGUUUGAUUUAGUCAGAAUGCCACUUUCUGCUGCUACUUUUGCAAAAUCAUUAUCUUCUGCCAGAAAGUAUGUUAACAAGUCGAAAGCCUCUCCUUCCAUUUGAUCUUUGCGGCUUUGGCCUACUUGCUCUCGCUUUCUUAUAAUACAUUGCUCCAAAAAAUCAUCAAAAAUCUUCCAAGAUUUCUUUUACUUCUUCUCAUUCCCAAUCUGAAGCCAUCUUUGCAACUUCCAAAUGCUUGCAGGCAAUGCAUGCCGGUAAAUGAUGAUCUCCUCUAUAUCAUCAAAAGCUUUCUGAUAAGCAAUUUGAGGGAAUUCAAUAGAAAGGGAAUUUGGGUCAAAGCCUAAAACCAACCGGCAGAUAUUAUCAAACGUGAAUCGCUGAAACACAUCUUGCAUGUCUACUUGUGAAACAUUUUCUAGAAGUGGAAAUAAGCCAUUUAAGAUCUUUUGCUUCAAAGUGAUCUCUACAGCCAAAUCGAACCUCUUGUUCUUGACUAAUAAAGAGUGAAAUAUUCUCCUCUGAAUACUCCAGCUAUCAGAAUCAGAAUUGAAAAUUCCAUCUCCCAGAGGUUCAAAAAUCUCUCUGAACUCAGGGCCCUUGGGAUAGUUGGGGAAGUUCUUGCUCAGAACAUAAUGGACGUUCAUGGAAUCACUAAUCGCCAAAAAAUUCAUGCCACUUAACCAAGGUCCUUUGAACAGAAAAGUGCCUUUAUUUUGUUGAAGAAUAAAAGUGGCAAAAUCAUGGAUAUGAGACAAGUUGCAAAGAAGAGCAGGAAUCAUCCCGAAAACAGGCCAAUCGAUGACUACAUAGCUACUUCUUCUAUUCCACCUCGAAAGCCAUAGAAGAAGAAGAAUAAAAACAAUGGAGAGAAAUGCUGCUAUUAUCAGUGUAGACCCGAACAUGUUCAUUCAAGCUAUGUUGAGUAUCUUUUUUGUUUUUGGAUAAGCAACUCUGCUAUGUUGCUUUGCUUUGAAAUAGCCUAAGCCAAGCUAUAGAUAUUUAUAGAUCAAGUGAUGACUAUUUUGGGAUUUAAG
This 1864-nucleotide unclassified non-coding RNA is filed under the name Hevea brasiliensis (rubber tree). The record is from RNAcentral. Lineage: Eukaryota; Viridiplantae; Streptophyta; Magnoliopsida; Malpighiales; Euphorbiaceae.